GCAGCUGCCCAUCUGCUGGAACCUGCUGGUGCUCUUAAACACGCAGCUGUGUGCACAUAUUCAGGGAGGCAUGUCCUGCUUGGCCAGCGAGGCUCAUGCAAACGUUCAGAGGGCGAAUGCAUGCUUGUGAUUGGAGGAGAGUAUUUUCCAUAGAGUCCAGUUAGCCCCACCUCGACCAACGAACACGUUCAUUAAAUUGUUCAAUUAUUUCAUCAUCACUAGGUCAGAAUAGCGUUAGGGCAACACUGUAAUAACGUUUGUACUCGUUAGUAUUAAACCAUGUAGAAUGAGUUGUUUUGACCUGCUGUCAUUCUGAUAUUACUGUUUGGGUUAAGAUUACUUUUAUUCAACAUUAUAUAUUUUGACACAGUUUCAACACAAUAAGCUUCGGUUUGACCUUAAACUGUCCCAAAUGUAUUGCUAGCUGUACAAAAUGAUUUAAAACUGCAAAGGAUUAACACAAUAACAAUCAGGGAGAAAUGAUGAAGUUCAGAAAGAGGAAGUGUUCAGUAGAUUGUAAGAGUUAAAGUUCAUACCGUAGUUCAUGUAAACUUCAAAGCCAUUCAUUUUUCGUUUGUUUCUUCUGUUGUGUUGCAGUUCAGUCUGAGUCUGCCUUACAAAGAGGAGAACAUCAUCUCCUACCUGGAGCCAGGUGUGGAGUACUGUGUGACAGUCUCUGUGACAUCACUCAUCAGCCUGAACUGUAUCUCCAGUAAACCUUGCUGUGCCUUCACCAGCCCUCCUCGGUCCAGAAGCUCACUGUACGUGGUCUUCAGCCUGCUGGGUGCGUUCUGUGCACUGGGCUUCCUCCUCGUUGGACUGGUUGUCCGCGGCGGUCAGCCGAGCUUUAAAUUACUAAGAACACCUCCACAGAGAACUCUGUCGUACAUCCUUCUCCAAUGCCGGCAUCGUGGAAGUGCACCCAUUGUCCCAUGAGAUCUCUGCUGACUGCCAACAGGCUGCUUCAGCCACCACAGAGCUGCUCUGAAGGGGGAGAGGAAGACUGUGGAGCGGCAGUGAAAUCCAAUGUUUAAAGUGUGGGGGGGGCCUAAAGACAAGAGGAGCUCGUUUAGGUGGAGUUGAUAAGGUCGACUGGUUUUGAGAAAAGGCAGACGUUGAGGGUAAAGUUUAUGGUUUACUAUCAGAGUGAGAUGUUUUUGUAAAUUGUUAUAAUUCUGUUUCUAUGUCGAUAUUUAGAAUUUCCUCUGACUCUUCUUCUGACUUUCUAUAUUAGUUUGAGGUAGAUUAAAGUUGCUCUGUUUUAUAAUCCAGAGAAUAACUGUGUAAACAGUCAACUUUAGGAAAACCUUAACUAAUGCAUGAGACCUGACCUGAGCAAACAAGUCGUAUAUGAAUAAGCAUAAAGCUUCAGCAUGGUUAACACCUUAGAUUGAGUAUAUCACUGUUUGUGUUUUAUUACUGUAACGUAGUAGCCUAUCUUUACUUAAACGCUGCCCUCUUUCCUCGAUGACUCUUUAUGCUGUUAUCAUACUUACUAGGAAGCAGUUGUUGUUCUGCCGUGCUGAUGGUGGCGAUGGCGUUCUGUACGGUGCUGCACCAAUGAGCUCAAGAUAUAAAAACAUCCGGUGAAUAAAGCAUGGUGAACAUGGCUCAAAAGAAGAGUUUUAGUGUUACUUGUAUUUAACUUAUUUUCAUGUUCAUACAUGCAUUUUGUUUUCUACCAGAACAUAAGAAACAUGACGUUCCACCACAUAAUGUGUUAAAUGACUUGUCGGACCGCUGAUACAAUACCAAUGGAAUGACAGUUAGGAUCCUGUUUUGUGGACUCACACAUUUUAAUAUGCUUGUGAAUAUGCAACGGUCAGAGCUAGUGACAGUGAGGACGUGCCAUAUUUAUGCUGUGACAUGUUUGACAGAUUGUGACACUGAGCUAUAAACCGUGAGAAAGACUUCUUCCGGUGGGAGGGGAGGUCUCUGGUGGGAGGGGAGGUCUCUGGGUCAAACAAACAGGACUUUCAACCAUGAGACCAGUUUGUGUCCACAAAGCUGUUGAGUUAUCGGGAAGUUAUAUUUGUGACGUUUUUCCUUAACCAUGGUUCAGUUACCUACAACUUCAUUUACAUGAUUCUUCUAACGUGAUGUUUCUCUAACUACUAAGCGUAACCUCGGUAAGUGGUUUGUUGCCUCAACCUUUGCCGACGUAUUUCAUUUAAGGCUAACUGUGAAGUUUCCCUUAUUAACCUAAUUCAGUGCUUUUGUUGCCUAAACGUUAAAUUGUUUCCGUGGUGCCGACACGUCAUUUAUACACAUUACAUGCCGCCACCACAUAAGGUGCUGCUAAUGGAGCAGUGUGUCGGACAUUGAGGCAUGUAAUGGUGAGGUAGCAGAUUG
This is a long non-coding RNA of Anarrhichthys ocellatus (wolf-eel), 2352 nucleotides long. RefSeq lists it as uncharacterized. The record is from RefSeq and is a predicted model, not a curated record. NCBI's taxonomy places the organism in Eukaryota, Metazoa, Chordata, Actinopteri, Perciformes, Anarhichadidae. The transcript has 3 exons.